Non-coding RNA from Camelina sativa (false flax), 858 nucleotides. NCBI's taxonomy places the organism in Eukaryota, Viridiplantae, Streptophyta, Magnoliopsida, Brassicales, Brassicaceae. The record is from RefSeq and is a predicted model, not a curated record.
GUGACGUGUUCAAUUUUUAUUGGAAAGAAAUUUUUGGUCGUCGAGAGAAUACUCUCGUUUCAUUUUCUUCGAUAUUGUCGAGCUAGGGAAGUCCCAAAAUUCAGUUGCAAAUGGAGGAGAAUGAUUUAAUUUUUGGUGACCUCCGACUGUUCGAACCGUUACUCAUCACCUCCACCGACGGCGGAUCUCAACGGCGACUCUGGUUCAGGUAAUCGUGACUCGUCUCCUUCCCAUGGCGAAUUGAUUUUUUUUUUUUUCUGGGUUAUCGUUGAUCUGGAUUCGUUUCAUCGAUGGAUGGUGAUUUGAUUUGAAAACUUUGUAUAUCAUCAUCUGCUGAUACAUGAUAUCAUUGAGAGGGCUAAAUAUAGAGUAGUAGAGCACAUUGAGAGAAUUCAUCCCGUCUUUCUGGGUUCGUCUCUUUUGUCUGGACGGGAAACACUUGUUCGCAUCACUGGGAAGGCUUUACACUGAGAAGACAUCGUGGCUUGAUGGGAAACAUGUUGUGUUUGGGAAAGUUAUUGAUGGUACAAUGUGGUGAAGGCUAUGGAAGAUGUUGGAUCUGACAGGGGAAAUACCUCUGAACCAGUUGUGAUUGAAGAUUGUGGUGAGCUCAAGAACCCAAGUUCGUAAGUUUUAAACACGUUUGGGUUGAUCUUGACUAUUGUGAAGUGGAGACUGCAGCAUCUGAGAUAGUUAAGAUCAAUCUAAUUGCUAUAUGCAAAGCACUACUACUUAGGUUUUGAGUUUUGACAAUAUCAUAUGAAUCUUUAGUAAGUGAUUCCUCCUUUUAAGUUUUUAUAAAAACUAUGUAUGAGUGUAGAAUCGAUGAUAAUAAUAGUAAAAUUCUUUAUUGAGUCA